RNAcentral lists this ribosomal RNA (253 nucleotides) under uncultured bacterium. RNAcentral's name for it is "partial 16S ribosomal RNA". It matches the Rfam family "Bacterial small subunit ribosomal RNA", at positions 524 to 776 of the family's 1533-position model. The record is from RNAcentral.
UACGGAGGGUGCAAGCGUUAUCCGGAUUCACUGGGUUUAAAGGGUGCGUAGGUGGGCAUGUAAGUGAGUGGUGAAAUCUCCGGGCUUAACCCGGAAACUGCCAUUGAUACUAUAUGUCUUGAAUACCAUGGAGGUGAGCGGAAUAUGUCAUGUAGCGGUGAAAUGCUUAGAUAUGACAUAGAACACCAAUUGCGAAGGCAGCUCACUACGCGGUUAUUGACACUGAGGCACGAAAGCGUGGGGAUCAAACAGG